RNAcentral lists this ribosomal RNA (491 nucleotides) under uncultured bacterium. RNAcentral's name for it is "bacterial SSU rRNA". It matches the Rfam family "Bacterial small subunit ribosomal RNA", at positions 40 to 507 of the family's 1533-position model. The record is from RNAcentral.
CGGCGUGCCUAACACAUGCAAGUCGAACGAGAAAGUUGGCUUCGGCCGAUGAGUAAAGUGGCGCACGGGUGAGUAACGCGUGGAUAAUCUGCCCUUUAGUUUGGAAUAACGUACCGAAAGGUGCGCUAAUACCGGAUAAUACUGAAUGACUACUGUCGUUUAGUCAAAGAAGGCUUCUGUUUACAUGCUUUUGCUGAAGGAUGAGUCCGCGUAUCAUUAGCUAGUUGGUAGGGUAAUGGCCUACCAAGGCGACGAUGGUUAGCUGGUCUGAGAGGAUGAUCAGCCACACUGGAACUGAGACACGGUCCAGACUCCUACGGGAGGCAGCAGUGAGGAAUAUUGCGCAAUGGAGGCAACCCUGACGCAGCAACGCCGCGUGAGUGAGGAAGGUUUUCGGACCGUAAAGCUCUGUCGAGCGGGAAGAAAUGCAUGGUGGCUAAUAUCCAUCAUGCUUGACGGUACCGCUAAAGGAAGCACCGGCUAACUCCGUG